UGGGGAAUCUUCCGCAAUGGGCGAAAGCCUGACGGAGCAACGCCGCGUGAGUGAAGACGGCCUUCGGGUUGUAAAACUCUGUGAUUCGGGACGAAAGAUAAGCAGACGAAUAAUCUGCAUAAGUGACGGUACCGAAAAAGCAAGCCACGGCUAACUACGUGCCAGCAGCCGCGGUAAUACGUAGGUGGCAAGCGUUGUCCGGAAUUAUUGGGCGUAAAGCGCGCGCAGGCGGCUACUUAAGUCCAUCUUAAAAGUGCGGGGCUUAACCCCGUGAUGGGAUGGAAACUGAGAAGCUGGAGUGUCGGAGAGGAAAGUGGAACUCCUAGUGUAGCGGUGAAAUGCGUAGAGAUUAGGAAGAACACCGGUGGCGAAGGCGACUUUCUGGACGACAACUGACGCUUAGGCGCGAAAGCGUGGGGAGCAAACAGG
Molecule: ribosomal RNA, 429 nt
Filed under: Verrucomicrobiota bacterium
Lineage: Bacteria; Pseudomonadati; Verrucomicrobiota
Description: Verrucomicrobia bacterium partial 16S ribosomal RNA
Rfam family: Bacterial small subunit ribosomal RNA
Source: RNAcentral